UUUUUGAAAACCUAACCCUCAGGGUAUGUCAGAUCUGCCACAAAUACAGGAAAUCCACUGUUCACACGGACUGAGUCUCCCUUGUAUUUGUACGGCAUCGCACAAGUACAAGACCCAUAAACAUGAUACAACCACCACAAUUGAAUAUAUAAACAUUCAUAUAUUCAUACAUUCAUACACCAUUCACAUUCAAAUUCACUUUCAGGGUUUUAAUCAUAAAUCCGCAAAUAU
This 231-nucleotide long non-coding RNA is filed under the name Ananas comosus (pineapple). RNAcentral's name for it is "long non-coding RNA (ACOM_LNC041622)". The record is from RNAcentral. Lineage: Eukaryota; Viridiplantae; Streptophyta; Magnoliopsida; Poales; Bromeliaceae.